Molecule: ribosomal RNA, 914 nt
Filed under: Annulohypoxylon microdiscum
Lineage: Eukaryota; Fungi; Ascomycota; Sordariomycetes; Xylariales; Hypoxylaceae
Description: partial large subunit ribosomal RNA
Rfam family: Eukaryotic large subunit ribosomal RNA
Source: RNAcentral
AGAGCAACAGGGAUUGCCCUAGUAACGGCGAGUGAAGCGGCAACAGCUCAAAUUUGAAAUCUGGCCCUCGUGGUCCGAGUUGUAAUUUGCAGAGGAUGCUUUUGUGCGGUGCCUUCCGAGUUCCCUGGAACGGGACGCCAGAGAGGGUGAGAGCCCCGUACGGUUGGACACCUACCCUAUAUAUAGCUCCUUCGACGAGUCGAGUAGUUUGGGAAUGCUGCUCUAAAUGGGAGGUAAAUUUCUUCUAAAGCUAAAUACCGGCCAGAGACCGAUAGCGCACAAGUAGAGUGAUCGAAAGAUGAAAAGCACUUUGAAAAGAGGGUUAAAUAGUACGUGAAAUUGUUGAAAGGGAAGCGUUUGCGACCAGACCUUUUCUAGGCGGAUCAUCCGGUGUUCUCACCGGUGCACUUCGUCUGGUUUAGGCCAGCAUCGGUUUUCUUAGGGGGAUAAAGGCUUAGGGAACGUAGCUCUUUAGGGAGUGUUAUAGCCCUUUGCGUAAUACCUCUCGGGGGACCGAGGACCGCGCUCUGCAAGGAUGCUGGCGUAAUGGUCGUCAACGACCCGUCUUGAAACACGGACCAAGGAGUCGAACAUUUGUGCGAGUGUUUGGGUAUUAAACCCUCACGCGUAAUGAAAGUGAACGGAGGUGAGAGCCCUUACGGGUGCAUCAUCGACCGAUCCUGAUGUCUUCGGAUGGAUUUGAGUAAGAGCAUAACUGUUCGGACCCGAAAGAUGGUGAACUAUGCGUGGAUAGGGUGAAGCCAGAGGAAACUCUGGUGGAGGCUCGCAGCGGUUCUGACGUGCAAAUCGAUCGUCAAAUCUGCGCAUGGGGGCGAAAGACUUAUCGAACCAUUAAAACCAGCGGUAAAUAAUUUUACUAGGUGGUUAAGAGGCCCCUCGACAGAGGGAGCCUA